UACGAAGGGAGCUAGCGUUGUUCGGAAUUACUGGGCGUAAAGGGCGCGUAGGCGGCUUGGCAAGUUGGAUGUGAAAGCCCAGGGCUCAACCCUGGAAUUGCAUUCAAGACUGCCUUGCUUGAAUUCGGUAGAGGUUGGUGGAAUUCCCAGUGUAGAGGUGAAAUUCGUAGAGAUUGGGAAGAACACCCGUGGCGAAGGCGGCCAACUGGACCGACAUUGACGCUGAGGCGCGAAAGCGUGGGGAG
This 245-nucleotide ribosomal RNA is filed under the name uncultured Dongia sp. RNAcentral describes it as "partial 16S ribosomal RNA". It matches the Rfam family "Bacterial small subunit ribosomal RNA", at positions 524 to 768 of the family's 1533-position model. Lineage: Bacteria; Pseudomonadati; Pseudomonadota; Alphaproteobacteria; Rhodospirillales; Dongiaceae. The record is from RNAcentral.